AGAUGUGAUUUCUGAGGUGGAGGUGGAACCACUGAAUGGUUCACAUCAUGGCGUCAUUGCUGCAGCAGUGCUGGUGGCUGUACUCAUCUUUGCCCUGCUGGCAGGAGCAAUGUGGUUUGUGUACAAGAGGAACUAUGCACGCUUUCGUGGGAUCCCGAUUCUGGGAAGUGCUUAUUACAGACAAACAGGCUCCCAGUCUUUAGAGUCAGAUGGAAAUGUGCUGAUGACGGACCUGGAGGCUCACUCAGGAGAAUAGCUCUCAGCGGCUCCCCUUUCCUAUUUAAAAGUGUUCUCCAUCUCUCAUCCGCUUCAUCAUCAGGUACGAAUGCCACAAGACACUGUAAAGCUUUGAUGCUGACUCCUCAGGACAGUGGUGAGACGAUGACAGCAAAAUAUUUCUUUGGUUCAUCCAAGGAAAGGUGUUAGAAGGACCCCAGUCGACCUCUGUCCGCAGUUUUCAUUUACUCAAACCAUCUCUAUGGGACGUGCUUGUGAAGAUAUUUCCUGUAUUGACACUGAAUAUAAUGCAUUUGAAAUUCUGUUGUUUGAAGUAGAUGAACAAAGUUCACACAAAUGAAAAUGUUGAAGAAGGGAUGCUAGCGAUCUUUGUAAAGGAGAUACUAAACAAUUACUGUCAGUAAGAGGAUUUAGUGUGAUUGGGUCACACUUUAUUGG
This is a non-coding RNA of Paralichthys olivaceus (Japanese flounder), 675 nucleotides long. NCBI's taxonomy places the organism in Eukaryota, Metazoa, Chordata, Actinopteri, Pleuronectiformes, Paralichthyidae. The record is from RefSeq and is a predicted model, not a curated record.